RNAcentral lists this ribosomal RNA (547 nucleotides) under uncultured bacterium. Its description in RNAcentral is "partial 16S ribosomal RNA". It matches the Rfam family "Bacterial small subunit ribosomal RNA", at positions 355 to 895 of the family's 1533-position model. The record is from RNAcentral.
UGGGGAAUUUUGGACAAUGGGGGAAACCCUGAUCCAGCCAUCCCGCGUGUGCGAUGAAGGCCUUCGGGUUGUAAAGCACUUUUGGCAGGAAAGAAACGUCGCGGGUUAAUACCCCGCGAAACUGACGGUACCUGCAGAAUAAGCACCGGCUAACUACGUGCCAGCAGCCGCGGUAAUACGUAGGGUGCAAGCGUUAAUCGGAAUUACUGGGCGUAAAGCGUGCGCAGGCGGUUCGGAAAGAAAGAUGUGAAAUCCCAGAGCUUAACUUUGGAACUGCAUUUUUAACUACCGGGCUAGAGUGUGUCAGAGGGAGGUGGAAUUCCGCGUGUAGCAGUGAAAUGCGUAGAUAUGCGGAGGAACACCGAUGGCGAAGGCAGCCUCCUGGGAUAACACUGACGCUCAUGCACGAAAGCGUGGGAAGCAAACAGGAUUAGAUACCCUGGUAGUCCACGCCCUAAACGAUGUCAACUAGCUGUUGGGGCCUUCGGGCCUUGGUAGCGCAGCUAACGCGUGAAGUUGACCGCCUGGGGAGUACGGUCGCAAGAUU